Molecule: small RNA, 108 nt
Filed under: Marmota monax (woodchuck)
Lineage: Eukaryota; Metazoa; Chordata; Mammalia; Rodentia; Sciuridae
Source: RNAcentral
GUUGGGUGCAGUGGUGCACACCUGUAAUCCCAGGCACUCUGGAGGCUGAGGCAAGGAGGCUUGCAAGUUUGAAUACAGCCUCAACAAUUUAGCAAGACCCUGUCUCAA